UACGGAAGGCAGCAGUGGGGAAUAUUGCACAAUGGGCGCAAGCCUGAUGCAGCCAUGCCGCGUGUAUGAAAAAGGCCUUCGGGUUGUAAAGUACUUUCAGUCGUGAGGAAGGUGUUAAGGUUAAUAACCUUAGCAAUUGACGUUAGCGACAGAAGAAGCACCGGCUAACUCCGUGCCAGCAGCCGCGGUAAUACGGAGGGUGCGAGCGUUAAUCGGAAUUACUGGGCGUAAAGGGCACGCAGGCGGUUAAUUAAGUUGGAUGUGAAAUCCCCGGGCUUAACCUGGGAAUGGCAUUCAAGACUGGUUUAGCUAGAGUCUUGUAGAGGGGGGUAGAAUUCCAUGUGUAGCGGUGAAAUGCGUAGAGAUGUGGAGGAAUACCGGUGGGCGAAGGCGGCCCCUGGGACAAAGGACUGACGCUCAUGUGCGAAAGCGUGGGGGAGCAAACAGGGAUUAGAUACC
Molecule: ribosomal RNA, 459 nt
Filed under: uncultured bacterium
Lineage: Bacteria
Description: bacterial SSU rRNA
Rfam family: Bacterial small subunit ribosomal RNA
Source: RNAcentral